GACGAACGCUGGCGGCGUGCUUAACACAUGCAAGUCGAACGGUGAAGCGCCUUCCUCUUUGGUGGGUGUGGAUGAGUGGCGAACGGGUGAGUAACACGUGAGUAACCUGCCCCCUUCUUCUGGAUAACCGCAUGAAAGUGUGGCUAAUACGGGAUAUUCUGGGUCUGUCGCAUGAUGGGUCUGGGAAAGAUAUUGUUUCGGUGGGGGAUGGGCUCGCGGCCUAUCAGCUUGUUGGUGGGGUGAUGGCCUACCAAGGCGGUGACGGGUAGCCGGCCUGAGAGGGUGGACGGUCACACUGGGACUGAGACACAGCCCAGACUCCUACGGGAGGCAGCAGUGGGGAAUAUUGCACAAUGGGCGCAAGCCUGAUGCAGCGACGCCGCGUGAGGGAUGGAGGCCUUCGGGUUGUGAACCUCUUUCGCCAGUGAAGCAGGCCUGCCUCGUUUGUGGGUGGGUUGACGGUAGCUGGAUAAGAAGCGCCGGCUAACUACGUG
RNAcentral lists this ribosomal RNA (494 nucleotides) under uncultured bacterium. Its description in RNAcentral is "partial 16S ribosomal RNA". It matches the Rfam family "Bacterial small subunit ribosomal RNA", at positions 28 to 507 of the family's 1533-position model. The record is from RNAcentral.